Molecule: ribosomal RNA, 497 nt
Filed under: uncultured bacterium
Lineage: Bacteria
Description: partial 16S ribosomal RNA
Rfam family: Bacterial small subunit ribosomal RNA
Source: RNAcentral
GAUGAACGCUGGCGGCGUGCCUAAUACAUGCAAGUCGAGCGAACAGACGAGGAGCUUGCUCCUCUGACGUUAGCGGCGGACGGGUGAGUAACACGUGGAUAACCUACCUAUAAGACUGGGAUAACUUCGGGAAACCGGAGCUAAUACCGGAUAAUAUAUUGAACCGCAUGGUUCAAUAGUGAAAGACGGUUUUGCUGUCACUUAUAGAUGGAUCCGCGCCGCAUUAGCUAGUUGGUAAGGUAACGGCUUACCAAGGCGACGAUGCGUAGCCGACCUGGGAGAGUGAUCGGCCACACGGGAACUGAGACACGGUGCAGACUCCUACGGGAGGCAGCAGUAGGGAAUCUUCCGCAAUGGGCGAAAGCCUGACGGAGCAACGCCGCGUGAGUGAUGAAGGUCUUCGGAUCGUAAAACUCUGUUAUUAGGGAAGAACAAAUGUGUAAGUAACUAUGCACGUCUUGACGGUACCUAAUCAGAAAGCCACGGCUAACUACGUG